Molecule: ribosomal RNA, 305 nt
Filed under: uncultured bacterium
Lineage: Bacteria
Description: bacterial SSU rRNA
Rfam family: Bacterial small subunit ribosomal RNA
Source: RNAcentral
UUUACCUACGGGGCGCAGCAGUGAGGAAUAUUGGUCAAUGGGCGGUAGCCUGAACCAGCCAAGUAGCGUGAAGGAUGAAGGUUCUAUGGAUUGUAAACUUCUUUUAUAAAGGAAUAAAGUGAGGCACGUGUGCCUUUUUGUAUGUACUUUAUGAAUAAGGAUCGGCUAACUCCGUGCCAGCAGCCGCGGUAAUACGGAGGAUCCGAGCGUUAUCCGGAUUUAUUGGGUUUAAAGGGAGCGUAGAUGGGUUGUUAAGUCAGUUGUGAAAUCCCUCGGCUCAACUGAGGAACUGCAACUAAAACUGG